UUAACUAUUAUAUAGUACUCAGACAAUAAUAAAUCAAGAGUUUUAGGUCCUCUGGCAGGCACUGACCAGCCGAAGCCGGUUGUCUUUCGACGGGCCUGCCAAAGCAACAAUGGUAUUGUAAACAAAGGGUGGAGUAGUAGACCGAAGUCCAUAAACUCUUUAAUGAUCCUUCCGCAGGUUCACCUACGGAAA
Molecule: unclassified non-coding RNA, 192 nt
Filed under: uncultured fungus
Lineage: Eukaryota; Fungi
Description: sequence contains ITS1, 5.8S rRNA gene
Source: RNAcentral